GAUGAACGCUGUCUACAGGCUUAACACAUGCAAGUCGAGGGGAAACGACGGGGAAGCUUGCUUCCCCGGGCGUCGACCGGCGCACGGGUGAGUAACGCGUAUCCAACCUGCCUCUGACUGAGGGAUAACCCGUCGAAAGUCGGCCUAAUACCUCAUGGCAUCGUCUGCGGGCAUCCAACGACGAUUAAAGAUUUCAUCGGUCAGGGAUGGGGAUGCGUCUGAUUAGCUUGUUGGCGGGGUAACGGCCCACCAAGGCUACGAUCAGUAGGGGUUCUGAGAGGAAGGUCCCCCACAUUGGAACUGAGACACGGUCCAAACGCCUACGGGAGGCAGCAGUGAGGAAUAUUGGUCAAGGGGCGGGAGCCUGAACCAGCCAAGUAGCGUGCAGGAUGACGGCCCUAUGGGUUGUAAACUGCUUUUAGGCGGGGAUAAAGUGAGGGACGUGUCCUUCAUUGCAGGUACCGCAUGAAUAAGGGCCGGCUAAUUCCGUG
RNAcentral lists this ribosomal RNA (491 nucleotides) under uncultured bacterium. RNAcentral's name for it is "partial 16S ribosomal RNA". It matches the Rfam family "Bacterial small subunit ribosomal RNA", at positions 28 to 507 of the family's 1533-position model. The record is from RNAcentral.